UACGUAGGGACCGAGCGUUGUCCGGAAUCAUUGGGCGUAAAGAGCGUGUAGGCGGCCUGGAAGGUCAGCUGUGAAAACUCGAGGCUCAACCUCGAGACGUCGGUUGAAACCACCUGGCUAGAGUCCGGAAGAGGAGAGUGGAAUUCCCGGUGUAGCGGUGAAAUGCGCAGAUAUCGGGAAGAACACCCGUGGCGAAGGCGGCUCUCUGGGACGGUACUGACGCUGAGACGCGAAAGCGUGGGGAGCGAACAGG
This 253-nucleotide ribosomal RNA is filed under the name uncultured bacterium. RNAcentral's name for it is "partial 16S ribosomal RNA". It matches the Rfam family "Bacterial small subunit ribosomal RNA", at positions 524 to 776 of the family's 1533-position model. The record is from RNAcentral.